This 235-nucleotide unclassified non-coding RNA is filed under the name Helotiales sp. RNAcentral describes it as "partial contains small subunit ribosomal RNA, internal transcribed spacer 1, and 5.8S ribosomal RNA". The stretch from base 1 to 46 matches the Rfam family "Eukaryotic small subunit ribosomal RNA", at positions 1786 to 1831 of the family's 1831-position model. The record is from RNAcentral. Lineage: Eukaryota; Fungi; Ascomycota; Leotiomycetes; Helotiales.
AAGUCGUAACAAGGUCUCCGUAGGUGAACCUGCGGAGGGAUCAUUACAGAGUUCAUGCCCUUACGGGUAGAUCUCCCACCCUUGAAUACUAUACCUUUGUUGCUUUGGCGGGCCGCUUUGGCUGCUGGCUUCGGCUAGCGAGUGCCCGCCAGAGAACCCUAAACUCUCUGAAUAUUAGUGUCGUCUGAGUACUAUAUAAUAGUUAAAACUUUCAACAACGGAUCUCUUGGUUCUG